This is a non-coding RNA of Cavia porcellus (domestic guinea pig), 289 nucleotides long. It matches the Rfam family "Metazoan signal recognition particle RNA". From Rfam's summary of the family: The signal recognition particle (SRP) is a universally conserved ribonucleoprotein. It is involved in the co-translational targeting of proteins to membranes. The record is from Rfam. NCBI's taxonomy places the organism in Eukaryota, Metazoa, Chordata, Mammalia, Rodentia, Caviidae.
GCCGGCCACACCUGUAGUCCCAGCUACUCGGGAGGCUGAGGUGGAGGAUCGCUUGAGUCCAGGAGUUCUGGGCUGUAGUGCUCUAUACCGAUCGGGUGUCCCCACUAAGUUCGGCAUCAAUAUGGUGACCUCCCGGGAGCGGGGGACCACCAGGUUGCCUAAGGAGGGGUGAGCCGGUCCAGGUCGGAAACGGAACAGGUCAAAACUCCCGUGCUGAUCAGUAGUGGGAUCGCGCCUGUGAAUAGCCACUGCACUCCAGCCUGGGCAAUAUAGUGAUUCCCUGUCUCUA